UUCAUCUGUUGCCAGUGCUGAAAUGCCUGAAACUAUUCAUGCAGCUUGCAAGUAAUGUUUGUUCAGUUGCAGCUUGCUUACGUCUCUCCAAAAAAAAGCAUAUGCGUACUACUGAAAAGAUUAUUCUAGAGAAAGAUGAUAGCAUCUUGCUGAUAUUAAUAAACCACAUAAUGGAUGCUCUGAAAAUCUAUGGCAGUUUGGAGUGUGAUGAAUGGUCGAUUCACAGGCAGUCUUGGAAAUUGGAAUCUGCUGUUGUUGUAGAGCCUCCAACGAACUUUACUUCGGAGUUACAUUCUAAGGACAAGAGAAGUUAACUCUACAUACACAUUUUGAUUUUAAUUUCUUGCAAAUCUUCUUAUCUUCCAGGCCUUGAUGGGGUACUUCGAGUGCUUGCUGGGAAAUCUUUGCUGAAACUGUUAAAGAGAUGGCUUCUGUUGCCUUUAAAAGUGUGUUCUGUCCCUUACUGAAAACUUGCGAAAUCUGGAUGCACCAGAGAAUUUUGUCCUUGGUUAUUGCGCCAUUCUUGCUUGACAACGGUACAACUUGAUGGCUAACAGAGUGCUCCUUCUGCUAGCUUUGUCCUCUAGGAUUGACCCAAGAUUCUCCUUCAAAAUCCUUGAUAGAACUGCCGGCCACUUCCUGAAAAACUUGAAAAGUCAACUUCCUCAGACGAGAAUACUGGCAAUUUUAGCUUUAAACACUCUACUUAGAGCCACCUCAUAAGAUGCAAGGCAAGGAUCAACCUUCUGUUUUGAGAAGGAGGAUUCUGAAAAACCUGAUACUUCUGUGUGACAAUCAUCAGAUAUGGGAAGCAAUCGGUGUAAAUCUUUCAGUGUUAUGCUUUAACAUUCGGGUGGGGAUGUUAUAUCAACAAGAAUAGAUGUUGAUAGCCGACUUGAGAAAAUUGGUUCAAGUUGAUUAGUGCAUGAGCAUCUGAAGCUUUUACAGAUAUUUAACAUGCAAGCAUAUCAGAUAGCUUGGAGUCUUGGACACUUCAACAGAUGUAGUUAUGGAAAAGCUCAAUUAAAUGGUAAUUCUCUAGAUGCUGUUAAAUGGAUGGAGACGUGUUGGGAGAGUUUAUUUUUCUUCCCUUUGUUACAGACUUUUGGUAAAAAUCUUCUUUAUUUUUAUCUUAUCUCAUAUCUGAUAGAAGUAAUUGCGGGAUCCCUCUAUCCGUUGAUAUCCUUACAGGAAACAUCACAUAAAGAUCUGUCAACAUUGGUAGCCUUCCAGCUGUGGCGAGUUUUCUCAGAAUCUCAUCUACAGAAAGAUAUUGGAGUUCUUUCUUCUGCUCAUGACUCUAAUUGGCGGGCAUACAGUCAACUCAUGAAGAGAAACAGAGAAUCUGGAAAUCUGUGGAAAAGCUCCUUGUUGACAGCCAAAUAGAGAGGUACGAGAGCAUGCUGCAUAUUUUCUGGAGGAGAUUAAUAUUUGCUGCAGAUUUUCGUGAUAGAUCCUAUUCAGAGGCAAACUCAAUCCAAAAGAGAAGAAACCGGAGGUAAAUCAAGUUCAACUCAGUCCAUUGCAAAGGUGCAUGGAGCCGUUCUUGGCUUGGUAGCUUCAGUUUUGUCUGUUUUGUCUGUUCCUUAUGACAUACCCAGCUGGUUGCCGGAUCAUGUGACGUUACUGGCUCAUUUUGCUGGUGAACGUAUAAAAUCGAGUGUGACUAAAGCAGUAGCUGAGUUCCGGCGAACAUCCAGGAAGACUCUUCCACUGAAGAACAGCUUGAGGUAAUGAGUUUGGAAUUUACAUAUUAAUGCAUAUAUAAGGAAAUUUCUAAAUAUAUACGUCACUCUUUAUCAAACAAGUUGGGAAUACAAAUAUACAAUAAUAGGAAUCACAACUUUGUAACUCCACCUUUUAUUGAACAUUCAUAAUUGUGUGCCCAAUAAUAGAGAUGUGACAAAAUAAAAGU
Camelina sativa (false flax) is the source of this 1915-nucleotide non-coding RNA. Lineage: Eukaryota; Viridiplantae; Streptophyta; Magnoliopsida; Brassicales; Brassicaceae. The record is from RefSeq and is a predicted model, not a curated record.